UACGGAGGAUGCGAGCGUUAUCCGGAUUUAUUGGGUUUAAAGGGUGCGUAGGUUGUUUUUUAAGUCAGCGGUGAAAGUUUGUGGCUCAACCAUAAAAUUGCCGUUGAAACUGGCAGUCACGAGUUGGAGAGAAGUAUGCGGAAUGCGCGGUGUAGCGGUGAAAUGCAUAGAUAUCGCGCAGAACUCCGAUUGCGAAGGCAGCAUGCCGGCUCCACACUGACGCUGAGGCACGAAAGCGUGGGUAUCGAACAGG
Molecule: ribosomal RNA, 253 nt
Filed under: uncultured Bacteroidales bacterium
Lineage: Bacteria; Pseudomonadati; Bacteroidota; Bacteroidia; Bacteroidales
Description: partial 16S ribosomal RNA
Rfam family: Bacterial small subunit ribosomal RNA
Source: RNAcentral